AUUUUAUCAUCAUCUUA
RNAcentral lists this small RNA (17 nucleotides) under Arabidopsis thaliana (thale cress). Its description in RNAcentral is "ATSL248210". The record is from RNAcentral. Lineage: Eukaryota; Viridiplantae; Streptophyta; Magnoliopsida; Brassicales; Brassicaceae.